AACGAACGCUGGCGGCAGGCCUAACACAUGCAAGUCGAACGGACGUAGCAAUACGUUAGUGGCGCACGGGAGAGUAACGCGUGGGAACCUACCUUUUGGUUCGGGAUAACAUCGGGAAACUGGUGCUAAUACCGGAUAAGCCCUUCGGGGGAAAGAUUUAUUGCCGAAAGAUGGGCCCGCGGUGGAUUAGCUAGUUGGUGAGGUAAUGGCUCACCAAGGCAACGAUCCAUAGCUGGUCUGAGAGGAUGAUCAGCCUCACUGGGACUGAGACACGGCCCAGACUCCUACGGGAGGCAGCAGUGGGGAAUAUUGGACAAUGGGGGAAACCCUGAUCCAGCCAUGCCGCGUGAAUGAUGAAGGCCUUCGGGUUGUAAAGUUCUUUUGGUGGGGACGAUGAUGACGGUACCCACAGAGUAAGCUCCGGCUAACUUCGUGCCAGCAGCCGCAGUAA
Molecule: ribosomal RNA, 451 nt
Filed under: uncultured bacterium
Lineage: Bacteria
Description: partial 16S ribosomal RNA
Rfam family: Bacterial small subunit ribosomal RNA
Source: RNAcentral